Molecule: ribosomal RNA, 585 nt
Filed under: Staphylococcus aureus
Lineage: Bacteria; Bacillati; Bacillota; Bacilli; Caryophanales; Staphylococcaceae
Description: bacterial SSU rRNA
Rfam family: Bacterial small subunit ribosomal RNA
Source: RNAcentral
GGCAGCAGUAGGGAAUCUUCCGCAAUGGGCGAAAGCCUGACGGAGCAACGCCGCGUGAGUGAUGAAGGUCUUCGGAUCGUAAAACUCUGUUAUUAGGGAAGAACAUAUGUGUAAGUAACUGUGCACAUCUUGACGGUACCUAAUCAGAAAGCCACGGCUAACUACGUGCCAGCAGCCGCGGUAAUACGUAGGUGGCAAGCGUUAUCCGGAAUUAUUGGGCGUAAAGCGCGCGUAGGCGGUUUUUUAAGUCUGAUGUGAAAGCCCACGGCUCAACCGUGGAGGGUCAUUGGAAACUGGAAAACUUGAGUGCAGAAGAGGAAAGUGGAAUUCCAUGUGUAGCGGUGAAAUGCGCAGAGAUAUGGAGGAACACCAGUGGCGAAGGCGACUUUCUGGUCUGUAACUGACGCUGAUGUGCGAAAGCGUGGGGAUCAAACAGGAUUAGAUACCCUGGUAGUCCACGCCGUAAACGAUGAGUGCUAAGUGUUAGGGGGUUUCCGCCCCUUAGUGCUGCAGCUAACGCAUUAAGCACUCCGCCUGGGGAGUACGACCGCAAGGUUGAAACUCAAAGGAAUUGACGGGGACCCG